AGUGAACGCUGGCGGUAGGCCUAACACAUGCAAGUCGAACGGCAGCACAGGAGAGCUUGCUUUCUGGGUGGCGAGUGGCGGACGGGUGAGGAAUACAUCGGAAUCUACUCUGUCGUGGGGGAUAACGUAGGGAAACUUACGCUAAUACCGCAUACGACCUACGGGUGAAAGCAGGGGACCUUCGGGCCUUGCGCGAUUGAAUGAGCCGAUGUCGGAUUAGCUAGUUGGCGGGGUAAAGGCCCACCAAGGCGACGAUCCGUAGCUGGUCUGAGAGGAGGAUCAGCCACACUGGAAAUGAGACACGGACCAGACGCCUACGGGAGGCAGCAGUGGGGAAUAUUGGACAAUGGGCGCAAGCCUGAUCCAGCCAUUCCGCGUGGGUGAAGAAGGCCUUCGGGUUGUAAAGCCCUUUUGUUGGGAAAGAAAUCCAGCUGGCUAAUACCCGGUUGGGAUGACGGUACCCAAAGAAUAAGCACCGGCUAACUUCGUGCCAGCAGCCGCCGUAA
Molecule: ribosomal RNA, 506 nt
Filed under: uncultured bacterium
Lineage: Bacteria
Description: partial 16S ribosomal RNA
Rfam family: Bacterial small subunit ribosomal RNA
Source: RNAcentral